This 542-nucleotide ribosomal RNA is filed under the name uncultured archaeon. RNAcentral describes it as "bacterial SSU rRNA". It matches the Rfam family "Archaeal small subunit ribosomal RNA", at positions 461 to 997 of the family's 1478-position model. The record is from RNAcentral.
GCACGCCGCGGUAACGACCGGCGGCCCGGAGUGGGGAUCGUGAUUAUUGGGUCUAAGGGUCCGUAGCCGGUUUGGUCAGUCCUCCGGGAAAUCUGAUAGCUCAACUAUUAGGCUUUCGGGGGAUACUGCCAGACUUGGAACCGGGAGAGGUAAGAGGUACUACAGGGGUAGGAGUGAAAUCUUUGUAAUCCCUGUGGGACCACCUGUGGCGAAGGCGUCUUACCAGAACGGGUUCGACGGUGAGGGACGAAAGCUGGGGGGCACGAACCGGAUUAGAUACCCGGGUAGUCCCAGCCGUAAACGAUGCUCGCUAGGUGUCAGGCAUGGCGCGACCGUGUCUGGUGCCGCAGGGAAGCCGUGAAGCGAGCCACCUGGGAAGUACGGCCGCAAGGCUGAAACUUAAAGGAAUUGGCGGGGGAGCACAACAACGGGUGGAGCCCUGCGGUUUAAUUGGACUCAACGCCGGACAACUCACCGGGGGCGACAGCAAUAUGUAGGCCAAGCUGAAGACUUUGCCUGAAUCGCUGAGAAGAGGUGCAUGG